Gasterosteus aculeatus aculeatus (three-spined stickleback) is the source of this 2461-nucleotide long non-coding RNA. NCBI's taxonomy places the organism in Eukaryota, Metazoa, Chordata, Actinopteri, Perciformes, Gasterosteidae. The record is from Ensembl.
CUACAUUAAAAUGGCUGAAUGUCAACAAGUCGGUGUCCACGACGUCACAAGGUUAUUACAUCCAUGGUCCAGGCUCACGGUGGGCGGGGACUCAGUUGCCAUGACGAUGACGUCAGUGUUGGUGUCGAGUAACCAAAGGUCAAAAUAAAGACAAGUGAAUGAAAACGGAAGGAAACUUAACAGGCUGCACAGAAUCGGGCGGAAAAUCACCGAAACCAAUUCAAACUCCACAACAAUUGAGUGCGGCGGUCGUCGGCCCAAUGUGCUCAGGAAAAUACAAGACCAUGAUGCCUUCACGCUGGACUCUGGAGCCACUGCGGAUGCCGUGUCUUCAUGAUCAAAUGGCCAUUUUCCAUAUGGUUUCCUGCCCUUAUCCAUUUACUCCUGCAGCCAGAAGCAUUCCUCAGAGGGAUAUCUUGGAUAAGAGGGAAGGCCCUCAACAUGUCAAGUUCCUGCUGUCUAGAUUUCCCAUUACCUGUAAACAUUGUGGGUUUGUCCCUGGCUGUGCACGUGAACAAGGUAGUUUGGGGCUGUAAACAUCCCCGACUGGAAGCUGUCCAUCUGCAGAGCUUUCAGUCCGAUGUUUGCUGCUGCCAACUGCCUCCAGCUCCACAGAAAUGGAAGCACUAGCGAGAUGUGUAUUUAUUUAUCAGACCUGCUUCUUUACGAUCCAGACCUAUUUGUCCGCGGAGGUUGUAUUACAAGCAGGAGUCGUAGCUUGUGAACAGUAGAUCACGUUUUAACCAUAAUCUUUUUAGAUUUGGUGACCCAUGUCCUCGAUAUCAGUUAUUCUGACUCAGUUCAUGUAAACAUCCUACACUCAGCUGUUUUCAAUUGCAGCAGAGGCUGAGAGAAGGUUGUUUACUUGAACCGGCUGGAAGGGACACAGACAUUGAGCGAGCAUCAUGGUCCUCAUGGUCAAUAACACUUAUUUGUUUUUCAAGACCUCUAAUACACUGAAGUCUUCUUUUCCUCCUGUCCUGCCAUCGAAAAAGUCAUCCUGUUGAAAUGAAAACUAUGCAAGCCAACCUAAAGACGGGAUGUCCUGGUGUUUGCGUUCCUUGACUCAUACUGUCUCGUAUAAACAAUGCGUCUCUGUCAAGGUUAGGGCUGCAAAGAGCCGGAAACGUAUUUUAAUUUAAUUUUUUUACAUUUACCAUUUUCCAUUGAUCUCUUGAAAACACUGCCAGGUACACUGAACGUGCACUCACUCGUGCGGCCACAGAGUGCGCGUUGGAAAAUAAAGGUAUCGCGUAACAAAAUUCAAAACUAUUUUAAAGAUGUGUGGAAUGCAGCACAUGCCGUGUUUCUUUGCAAAGGAUCUAGUUGUAGCUUUUGUACACCGAGUAUUUUAUUCUCUCAACCCGAUUCAGGGAAAAUCAUAGCGAAUACCCUAUUUUCUUUGUUUUUGAUCAAGACAAGAAUAAAGUUCUACCCAAAUUGAGUCAAAUGUAUUUUUUUUCAAAUUUCUAUUAUAAAUGUUUGCAUGCAUAUCUGCAUAUGACAAGUUAAAUUACCAUAUAUUCCCUUCAAUUCCCAGAAAAGGUUUCCAUUUUUGCAAAACUCGACAUAAAGUUGCCAAAGAUAAAUGUUUUGUGGCAUAUGUAACGGGUGUUUGACUCCACUUGCCAUUGCUAAGAGUCAUGACAGGGUGUCACGUGGGUGCCCUCUAGUGGGUCCCUGCGGGUGCGACACCCUGUAGCUACAAAGUUAGUCUGCUGCAGGGUGUGUAACCGGUAAGUUGGCGGUCGAAAAGUCUCCUUGCCAAUGCUAUAUCAACUAGCUCAUAUCUUUUAUUUUUGUUUAACAGUUAUGAUGCCACGAGGUAGUCUAUGAAGACGCUAACCUCCUGUAUGUUCGGCAGGUGUCUUAACGUCACGAAAUAAACGGCCGAUUGACGCCGAAUGUGGUCCGUGUCCUGGUGAUAAUUCUAAAAACACAACGCAAGAGAGAGUACAACCGCUACACAUAUAUGGUUGAUAAUUAUUAAUUACAUUACAGGGCAUUUAGCUGAUGCUUUUAUCCAAAGAGACAUUGCAUUUGUAACCCAUGGCUUUUUAUAUUUUUGCCCAGGGAGCAAUUAGGGGUUAGGUGUCUUGCUCGGGGACACUUUGACAUGGGACAUGGAGCAGCUGGGGCUCGAACCACCAGCCUUGUGGUUCCCAGCGCAUCCUCUCUUCUCUAUGCGCCACCAUCAAACCGCCUGCAGUUCAUCUCCAUCAGACCUCCCGGCCCUGCCGUCAAAUUGACCUAAGCCAAGAAGGAUGUUAACGACAAAGAGAGUUUAUUUUUUACCAGAAUUUGUGGCAUCACAUGUGCUUCUGCAAUGAAGACAAGUGCUUGUAAACUGCAGUAUGUUUUUUAAUGAAUAGGAUCCUUCAUUGACUUGAGUUGUGUACACUCAAGACAUGUUGUGCAAAUCUACGUAUCAUAAUCAAUGUUGAAAUUAAUAAAACUGAAC